UCUUGCACUGUUGGUGGGAAUGUAAAUUGAUACAGCCACUAUGGAGAACAGUAUGGAGGUUCCUUAAAAAACUAAAAAUAGAACUGCCAUACAACCCAGCAAUCCCACUACUGGGCAUAUACCCUGAGAAAACCAUAAUUCAAAAAAAGUCAUGUACCACAAUGUUCAUUGCAGCUCUAUUUACAACAGCCAGGACAUGGAAGCAACCUAAGUGUCCAUCGACAGAUGAAUGGAUAAAGAAGAUGUGGCACAUAUAUACAGUGGAAUAUUACUCAGCCAUAAAAAGAAAUGAAAUUGAGUUAUUUGUAGUGAGGUAGAUGGACCUACAGUCUGUCAUAUAGAGUGAAGUAAGUCAGAAAGAGAAAAACAAAUACUGUAUGCUAACACAUAUAUAUGGAAUCUAAAAAAAAAAAAUGGUUCUGAUGAACCUAGGGGCAGGACAGGAAUAAAGACGCAGACGUAGAGAACAGACUUGAGGACACGGGGAGGGGGAAGGUAAGCUGGGAUGAAGUGAGAGAGUGGCAUGGACAUAUAUUCACUACCAAAUGUAAAAUAGAUAGCUAGUGGGAAGCAGCUGC
Orcinus orca (killer whale) is the source of this 578-nucleotide long non-coding RNA. RefSeq lists it as uncharacterized. The transcript is spliced from 3 exons. Lineage: Eukaryota; Metazoa; Chordata; Mammalia; Artiodactyla; Delphinidae. The record is from RefSeq and is a predicted model, not a curated record.